CAAAAUAAGUGAUAUAGAGCAAAACCCUAAAAACGGUCUCAGUUCGGAUUGAAGGCUGAAAUUCGCCUUCAUGAAGCUGGAAUUGCUAGUAAUGGCAGGUCAGCAUACUGCCGUGAAUACGUUCCCGGGCCUUGUACACACCGCCCGUCACACCAUGAGAGUUGGGAAUACCCGAAGCCUGUGAGCUAACUUAUAGAGGCAGCAGUCGAAGGUAGAAUCAAUGAUUGGGGUGAAGUCGUAACAAGGUAGC
RNAcentral lists this ribosomal RNA (250 nucleotides) under uncultured bacterium. RNAcentral's name for it is "partial 16S ribosomal RNA". It matches the Rfam family "Bacterial small subunit ribosomal RNA", at positions 1250 to 1500 of the family's 1533-position model. The record is from RNAcentral.